GAAACGAUGAUUAAAACCUCAUAAUGCCGAAGGAACACAUGUUUCAUCGGCCAAAGAUUUAUCGGUCAGGGAUGGGCCUGCGUCUGAUUAACUAGUUGGUGAGGUAACGGCUCACCAAGGUGACGAUCAGUAGCCGACCUGAGAGGGUGAUCGGCCACAUUGGAACUGAGACACGGUCCAAACUUCUACGGAAGGCAGCAGUAGGGAAUCUUGCACAAUGGGCGAAAGCCUGAUGCAGCAACGCCGCGUGAAGGAUGAAGGCCUUCGGGUUGUAAACUUCUGUUCUUAGGGAAGAAGAAAGUGACGGUACCUAAGGAGAAAGCCCCGGCUAACUACGUGCCAGCAGCCGCGGUAAUACGUAGGGGGCAAGCGUUAUCCGGAAUUAUUGGGCGUAAAGAGUGCGUAGGUGGUUAUCUAAGCGUAAGGUUUAAGCGUGCAGCUCAACUGCAUCUCGCCUUGCGAACUGGACCACUUGAGUGCAGGAGGGGAAAGCGGAAUUCCUAGUGUAGCGGUGAAAUGCGUAGAUAUUAGGAGGAACACCAGCGGCGAAGGCGGCUUUCUGGACUGUAACUGACACUGAGGCACGAAAACGUGGGGAGCAAACAGGAUUAGAUACCCUGGUAGUCCACGCCGUAAACGAAGAGCACUAG
RNAcentral lists this ribosomal RNA (650 nucleotides) under uncultured bacterium. Its description in RNAcentral is "bacterial SSU rRNA". It matches the Rfam family "Bacterial small subunit ribosomal RNA", at positions 153 to 819 of the family's 1533-position model. The record is from RNAcentral.